UAAGAAUUGGCGCGGGAAGAUCAAGGAGAAAAGCAGAAAGAAAAUGUCGUGUUCAAGGGCGUCGGAUUAGGGUUGCCUUCUACGAAUGCCAAUUCCAGUUGCAAUUUUCCUUCUAAUAAGAAUCUUCCUUCAAACCGUGAAUUUCAACCAAUUUCACUUCGUUGUCGUGUAUUGCUUUCUGAAAAUGGCGACGAUUCUAAGUUCGAUGCCGAUUGCACUUUUACAUCAACUAGAGGAAUAGAGAAGCUGGUGCCGAUGGCUCUGGAACUUCUGCUAGAAGUCGUCGAUUGCUUAAGCUUCGCGAAGAGAAGCGCAAACAGGAACAUGAUCGUCUCCACAGUUAUCUUGCCGUCUUUUCUGUAUGAUUGUGUGUUGCGUUGUCUUCACUCUGUUUGUUUGCUAAUGAAAUCGCCGGGAAAACGGCUGAUUGUUUGAAGAUGCCUGCAAAAACGAGGCGGAAUUUCGCGCUGUUCCUAGCGAUAGCAUCGGCAAUCAGAGGCAAUGAGGAACAAGGUUAUCCAGUCCUGGUAUGUCAUUGGUCGAUUGGAGGACUUUUAACUCUUCAAAUUUCUGGCGAAUUCAGCCAUGGAGUGCAAUUCCUCUCUAUAAUGCAGAUAAAGGGUUUGAAGUGAUGCCGCCAUCAUUUCAUGAUAUCAGUGAUGUAGAGUUUCAGGAUAACUGGGGCCGGGUUUGGGUUGACCUAGAUAUUUAGCCAUCCAGUAAGUCAUCUUUGGAGGACGUCGUAUGAGCGAUUGGGAAGAAGGGAUGGCAAGCCCCGAGAAUGGUACAAGUAUUUCAAAAUCUUUCUUCUUUAGAAUCUUGGUGUAUUUAAUGCCUCCUCUAUAUCCUAAAUCUUCAUCUUUAUUUAAACUUCCGCCAGAAUAGUAGGAAGUUUUUAGGCUUAGAUCAGGUAGUUUGAGAAUUUUGCAUUCAGAAAAUAAAAAAAUGGCCCACACGCUCUUCUCCUUUAGGAAAGGUAAUACCAAUUAGACGUGAGAAUCUUGGAGGGAGGAUUGAACCAAAAAAAGUAGCCCUGCAAGUAAUGCCUUAGCUAAGUUAAGUUGUGAAACUCUUCGUUCUUAUGCCCACCUCAAUUUGUUAGGGAAAAAAAUGUCCCACAGCCAUAGUUAAAAUAUAUAUCAUCCAUAGGGAGGUUAAAGGUUUAAAUUCUCAUCCAUAUGUUUCAAUAAAUUAAAAUGUCUUACCGGAAAAGAAAAAGAACCCAAGGUAAAAGGUAAUUGGCCAUCCUCUGUUGGAUCAAGGAUUUCUAUGGUGUAAAAUUGGGACUUUCAUUCUAAAACAAAAAACAACAAUUAUAGGUCCUCAUGGUCAUGAGAAUCCUUGAACAGAACGGCCCGUGAAUUUUAUUGCUAGUUUUUUAGUAUAAUAAAUGGGAUAAAAGAGGAUUUAAACAUAUGCAUCAUGCUUAUCACUCCAUUAUAUCAUUCUUAUGGCCCCAGCCCCAAAAAAGUUGUUUCAGUACAGGUCAGGGUAUCAAAAAGCAAAACAUAUUAUAAGUAGAUUUAAUUAUUAUAUUAAUUUAGU
This is a long non-coding RNA of Cucurbita moschata (crookneck pumpkin), 1545 nucleotides long. RefSeq lists it as uncharacterized. The transcript is spliced from 5 exons. NCBI's taxonomy places the organism in Eukaryota, Viridiplantae, Streptophyta, Magnoliopsida, Cucurbitales, Cucurbitaceae. The record is from RefSeq and is a predicted model, not a curated record.